Molecule: long non-coding RNA, 629 nt
Organism: Xenia sp. Carnegie-2017
Lineage: Eukaryota; Metazoa; Cnidaria; Anthozoa; Malacalcyonacea; Xeniidae
Exons: 5
Source: RefSeq, a predicted model, not a curated record
UGAGGACAAUAUUUCUUCGCGUAUUCAUAUUUUUUAGGAGUUUGCAACAUCAAAAGUUCGAAGCAAGGCAUUCGAUCAACAGGGCUCAGUCACUCAGUACUAUGCUUAGUACUUUUUUAAAUAUAUAUCGGGAAGUCUGGCUGGGAGAAUGGAAGAAAUUCAGACGCUCAAAUGACUUCUUUUACAAUAACGUGGAGAGGAAAGGAAACACACAAAAGAUGAUGCGAAUAGCAGUGUGUCAUAUGAAUCUCAAUUUUUUGAACAAGAAAAUGAAUUUGGGGAUUUGAAUGAACAAAGUGAAGAUAUUGCUGAAAAUUAUGACAAGCACCAAGAGUUAACCACCAAAACACAGGACUCUAAAGAUAUCUUUACCAAGCAAUCUAUCUCUAUUAUUACAGAAGAACCCAAACAACCAUGUCAACAUAGUCAAGUAGUUCUCACAUAUACAGUUAUACUUUAUACUGUUUACCACUAGUCAUGUUUUUAAUGUGUUAUAAAUUGACAAUAUGCUUGUUGAUUGCUUAUGCAUGAAACACUGUCUAGCAAAACUUUAUUAACAUCUGGUAGAAAUGUGCUCAACAAACAUAAAAAUAUAUUACAAUAGAUAUUUUUGAAACAGUGAACAUUAA